Molecule: ribosomal RNA, 252 nt
Filed under: uncultured bacterium
Lineage: Bacteria
Description: partial 16S ribosomal RNA
Rfam family: Bacterial small subunit ribosomal RNA
Source: RNAcentral
UACGUAGGUCCCGAGCGUUGUUCGGAUUUAUUGGGCGUAAAGCGAGCGCAGGUGGUUUAUUAAGUCUGGUGUAAAAGGCAGUGGCUCAACCAUUGUAUGUAUUGGAAACUGGUAGACUUGAGUGCAGGAGAGGAGAGUGGAAUUCCAUGUGUAGCGGUGAAAUGCGUAGAUAUAUGGAGGAACACCGGUGGCGAAAGCGGCUCUCUGGCCUGUAACUGACACUGAGGCUCGAAAGCGUGGGGAGCAAACAGG